GGGUAUAUAGCUCAGUGGUAGAGUGUGUGCCUAGCAUGCAUGAGGUCCUGGGUUCAAUCGCCGGUACCUCCA
This 72-nucleotide transfer RNA is filed under the name Camelus bactrianus (Bactrian camel). It matches the Rfam family "tRNA". Rfam says of the family: Transfer RNA (tRNA) molecules are approximately 80 nucleotides in length. Their secondary structure includes four short double-helical elements and three loops (D, anti-codon, and T loops). Further hydrogen bonds mediate the characteristic L-shaped molecular structure. tRNAs have two regions of fundamental functional importance: the anti-codon, which is responsible for specific mRNA codon recognition, and the 3' end, to which the tRNAs corresponding amino acid is attached (by aminoacyl-tRNA synthetases). tRNAs cope with the degeneracy of the genetic code in two manners: having more than one tRNA (with a specific anti-codon) for a particular amino acid; and 'wobble' base-pairing, i.e. permitting non-standard base-pairing at the 3rd anti-codon position. Lineage: Eukaryota; Metazoa; Chordata; Mammalia; Artiodactyla; Camelidae. The record is from Rfam by way of RNAcentral. RNAcentral also lists the same sequence under 2 other names.